UCUGGCAGCCAUAUCACCCUGUAGCCCAAGACUGAUCGCCCACUGAAGCUAAGCAGGGUUGAGUCUGGUUAGUACCUGGAUGAGAGACCUCCUUAGAAAAACUAGGUUGCUGUUGGAA
Sinocyclocheilus anshuiensis is the source of this 118-nucleotide ribosomal RNA. NCBI's taxonomy places the organism in Eukaryota, Metazoa, Chordata, Actinopteri, Cypriniformes, Cyprinidae. The record is from Ensembl.